UACGGAGGGUGCAAGCGUUAUCCGGAUUCACUGGGUUUAAAGGGUGCGUAGGUGGCGUGGUAAGUCAGUGGUGAAAUCUCCAAGCUUAACUUGGAAACUGCCGUUGAUACUAUCAUUCUUGAAUAUCGUGGAGGUAAGCGGAAUAUGUCAUGUAGCGGUGAAAUGCUUAGAUAUGACAUAGAACACCGAUUGCGAAGGCAGCUUGCUACACGAUCAUUGACACUGAGGCACGAAAGCGUGGGGAUCAAACAGG
This 253-nucleotide ribosomal RNA is filed under the name uncultured bacterium. Its description in RNAcentral is "partial 16S ribosomal RNA". It matches the Rfam family "Bacterial small subunit ribosomal RNA", at positions 524 to 776 of the family's 1533-position model. The record is from RNAcentral.